RNAcentral lists this ribosomal RNA (372 nucleotides) under uncultured organism. Its description in RNAcentral is "partial 16S ribosomal RNA". It matches the Rfam family "Bacterial small subunit ribosomal RNA", at positions 527 to 896 of the family's 1533-position model. The record is from RNAcentral.
GGGGGGAGCAAGCGUUGUCCGGAUUUACUGGGCGUAAAGGGCUCGUAGGCGGGUUUGUAAGUCAAAAGUGAAAUCUGUCGGCUUAACCGGCAAACUGCUUCUGAUACUGCAAGCCUUGAGUAAGAUAGAGGAAAGCGGAAUUCCUGGUGUAGCGGUGAAAUGUGUAGAUAUCAGGAAGAACACCGGUGGCGAAGGCGGCUUUCUGGGUCUUUACUGACGCUGAAGAGCGAAAGCGUGGGUAGCGAACAGGAUUAGAUACCCUGGUAGUCCACGCCCUAAACGAUGAACACUAGGCGUUGGAGGGUCGGCCCCCCUUCAGUGCCGUAGCUAACCGCAUUAAGUGUUCCGCCUGGGGAGUACGAUGCAAGGUUG